This 442-nucleotide ribosomal RNA is filed under the name uncultured bacterium. Its description in RNAcentral is "partial 16S ribosomal RNA". It matches the Rfam family "Bacterial small subunit ribosomal RNA", at positions 338 to 795 of the family's 1533-position model. The record is from RNAcentral.
CCUACGGGAGGCAGCAGUGGGGAAUAUUGGGCAAUGGGCGCAAGCCUGACCCAGCAACGCCGCGUGAAGGAAGAAGGCUUUCGGGUUGUAAACUUCUCUUAAGAGGGAAGAGCAGAAGACGGUACCUCUUGAAUAAGCCACGGCUAACUACGUGCCAGCAGCCGCGGUAAUACGUAGGUGGCAAGCGUUGUCCGGAUUUACUGGGGGUAAAGGGCGUGCAGCCGGGAAGACAAGUCAGAUGUGAAAUCCCGCGGCUCAACCGCGGAACUGCAUUUGAAACUGUUUUUCUUGAGUACCGGAGAGGUCAUCGGAAUGCCUUGUGUAGCGGUGAAAUGCGUAGAUAUAAGGAAGAACACCAGUGGCGAAGGCGGAUGACUGGACGGCAACUGACGGUGAGGCGCGAAAGCGUGGGGAGCAAACAGGAUUAGAUACCCGAGUAGUC